UGCAGUAUGUUUUAAACUUUCCUGAUUUUGUUUUUCAUGGUUUUAUCCCCCAUGAUGCAAACAAUUAAUGUUCUAGAACUUAGCUGCCUUAGCUUCCAAUCCUUAGCUUUAAGGAUUCAUGUCCACCUAAUUAACAACUUUUGGUAAAAACAAAGAAAAAAUCUCAGCUAACUGUGAAGGAACUGUCCUCUCUCUGUGUGCAGCUGCAGGGCAGGAGACACCAUUCUGCACCAUAAAAAAUGAGUUCAAAGAAUCCGACCUAAUAAGGCGUGGAACUAAAAACAUCGAUGAGUUAUCAAUCUUACUCUCCUGUCAACGUUAUGAUGCUGUAAUCAUACGGAGAGCAAAGUUGAGGACUACAUGAUUUCUUGACUUAUAAAGCUACAAUAAUCAGUGCAGUAUGGUAUGCUGUCAGGGUAGAAAAUAGAUCAACAGAACAGAAUAGAGUCCAGAAAUAGACCCACAUGUAUGUGGUCAAAGAUGCCAGCAGAUGGUCCUGGUUAGAUGAUCCUGAAUCAUCCGUGGAAGAGAGAAGGGGAUCUCUCAGCCUGAAUGUAUGACAUAUCCCACAGAAACCCCUGGAUAUGUC
RNAcentral lists this long non-coding RNA (589 nucleotides) under Pan troglodytes (chimpanzee). RNAcentral describes it as "long non-coding RNA NONPTRT011543". Lineage: Eukaryota; Metazoa; Chordata; Mammalia; Primates; Hominidae. The record is from RNAcentral.